Molecule: long non-coding RNA, 222 nt
Filed under: Lupinus angustifolius (narrow-leaved blue lupine)
Lineage: Eukaryota; Viridiplantae; Streptophyta; Magnoliopsida; Fabales; Fabaceae
Description: long non-coding RNA (LANG_LNC003196)
Source: RNAcentral
UUGGACCUGAUGGUUCUUCACAACGUGAGAUGAGUGUGUUGUAUGAAUAAACUUGAGUGCAACUGAAUAUGCAACGUGAGAUGAGUGUGUUUUGUAAAAUGGGCCUCCUCAUUUUACAAACAACCUCUGCUUAUAUGCAUAUUCACUUUACAGCCAACAAUUAUAUUGUUUGACUCCAAUAUGGAUUGAACUUCCAGAUAUUGAGAUUUUAUGCCACCUUAG